This 87-nucleotide transfer RNA is filed under the name Tropheryma whipplei. RNAcentral's name for it is "tRNA-Ser". It matches the Rfam family "tRNA". From Rfam's summary of the family: Transfer RNA (tRNA) molecules are approximately 80 nucleotides in length. Their secondary structure includes four short double-helical elements and three loops (D, anti-codon, and T loops). The record is from RNAcentral. RNAcentral also lists the same sequence under 2 other names. Lineage: Bacteria; Bacillati; Actinomycetota; Actinomycetes; Micrococcales; Tropherymataceae.
GGUAGCGUGUCUGAGUGGCCGAAAGAGCGCGCCUCGAAAGCGCGUGAGCGCACCUGUGCUCCGUGGGUUCAAAUCCCACCGCUACCG